This 208-nucleotide long non-coding RNA is filed under the name Gallus gallus (chicken). The record is from RNAcentral. Lineage: Eukaryota; Metazoa; Chordata; Aves; Galliformes; Phasianidae.
UGCAGAAAUGUUAUCUUAAAUGGUAGACCAUGGGAAAUUCAGGUUUGGGUGAAACUUUAACCUUCUGCUGUUACUGCAAGGUCUACUGACGUCCGUGGAAAUUCCAGAUGCAGAAUGAAUACUGAACAUAGCCUGUUGUCAUUUUGGAGAGUAACAAAAUAUAACAUGGGCAUUUGUGAAGUGUUUCUAGAUGCAACGGUUGCAAAAC